AAAGAUUCAAUUUUAAGCUGCUAACUUAAUUAAAAAUGUUUACCAUUUAAUCUUUU
Molecule: transfer RNA, 56 nt
Filed under: Tropilaelaps mercedesae
Lineage: Eukaryota; Metazoa; Arthropoda; Arachnida; Mesostigmata; Laelapidae
Description: tRNA-Ser
Source: RNAcentral